RNAcentral lists this ribosomal RNA (460 nucleotides) under uncultured bacterium. Its description in RNAcentral is "partial 16S ribosomal RNA". It matches the Rfam family "Bacterial small subunit ribosomal RNA", at positions 338 to 795 of the family's 1533-position model. The record is from RNAcentral.
CCUACGGGAGGCUGCAGUGAGGAAUAUUGGUCAAUGGACGAGAGUCUGAACCAGCCAAGUAGCGUGAAGGAUGACUGCCCUAUGGGUUGUAAACUUCUUUUAUAUGGGAAUAAAAUGUUCCACGUGUGGGAUUUUGUAUGUACCAUAUGAAUAAGGAUCGGCUAACUCCGUGCCAGCAGCCGCGGUAAUACGGGAGAUCCGAGCGUUAUCCGGAUUUAUUGGGUUUAAAGGGAGCGUAGGUGGAUUGUUAAGUCAGUUGUGAAAGUUUGCGGCUCAACCGUAAAAUUGCAGUUGAAACUGGCAGUCUUGAGUACAGUAGAGGUGGGCGGAAUUCGUGGUGUAGCGGUGAAAUGCUGAGAUAUCACGAAGAACUCCGAUUGCGAAGGCAGUUCACUGGACUGCAACUGACACUGAGGCUCGAAAGUGUGGGUAUCAAACAGGAUUAGAUACCCGGGUAGUC